This 385-nucleotide ribosomal RNA is filed under the name Elusimicrobiota bacterium. Its description in RNAcentral is "Elusimicrobia bacterium (groundwater metagenome) partial 23S ribosomal RNA". It matches the Rfam family "Bacterial large subunit ribosomal RNA", at positions 2547 to 2925 of the family's 2925-position model. Lineage: Bacteria; Pseudomonadati; Elusimicrobiota. The record is from RNAcentral.
CUGGGGCUGGAGAAGGUCCCAAGGGUCCGGCUGUUCGCCGGUUAAAGCGGUACGUGAGCUGGGUUCAGUACGUCGUGAGACAGUACGGUCCCUAUCUGCAGUGGGCGCAGGAAUCUUGAGGGGAGUCGAUCACAGUACGAGAGGACCUGAUUGAACGUACCUCCCGUAUCGGAGUUAUCCCGCCAGGGGUACAUGCUCCGUAGCGGUGUGCGGAUCGGAUAACCGCUGAAAGCAUCUAAGUGGGAAACCGACCCCAAGAUAAGGAUUCCCGGACCGCAAGGUCCCUGAAGGCCACCCGUAGACUACGGGUUUGAUAGGGGAGAGGUGGAAGCUGAGUAAUCAGUGUAGCCAACUCCUACUAAUCGGCCGUGCGGCUUAGCCACAU